Molecule: long non-coding RNA, 8880 nt
Filed under: Gallus gallus (chicken)
Lineage: Eukaryota; Metazoa; Chordata; Aves; Galliformes; Phasianidae
Source: RNAcentral
CUUUAUUGCGGUCCCCGCCUUACGGGGCCGUCUCUCGCCGCGCGUACACCGCGGCCGUCUCAAACCACAUCUUCUCCACCGCCUCCUGGCCCAGCGCGCACAUGGCCAUCAGGUGCUUCCACCCCGUCUUGGCCGUGGUCAUGAGGUACUCCUCGUUCUCCGGGUACAGCAGCGCCGUGUGGGCCGCCAUGACGAGCGACUGCGCGAAGCGGCCGCUCACCAGCAGGAACAGCGCCGCCCGCUCCCCGCCCGUCAGCGGCACCACGCUCUCGAAGCCCGCCAGGACGUGGCCGCCCACGCGGAGCGGCUCGGCGCUCUCCACCAUCAUGUACAUAAUGGCGAUGGCCGCCUCGAACACGUAGCGGCCGUAGCUCAUGUCGCUGAAGUCCAGCACGCCCGACACGCGGUACUGCGGGGCCGCCCCGCGCGGAGAGCCGGGAACCACCAGGAUGUUGUGGUCGUUGAGGUCCCCGUGGUUGAUGCCUAAACGCAGGAGAAUGAAAAACGGUAUUUAAUGACUGAGCCAGCCGUGUCAGCGGGCCUGGUUCCUUGUCUGCAAACCCGGUUUCCUGAAACAAGCUCCAACGUGAUACUGGGAUCAAACACUCACAAGGUCGAAAACUGCUUAUCUUGGGUGUGACUUUCUCCUUGAACUGCUGGAUGACCCAUUCCACCACCUCCCGGUACUCGUUCUGGCCCAAGGCGUCCACGUACUGCUCCAGCAGGGGGACGUUGGCCAGGUUCCAGAUGAACUGACCUCGAUGCAGACUACUUACUGAUGGAUGAUGGAACUGCUGCAGGAAGAGAACAGAAAAUAGGCCAUACAUUAAAAUCUGUACUUCAUCCCAACAAGUAAAAGUAGAAUCUGAAGGAUUAUUUCAUCACAGAAUGGCCUGGGUUGAAAAGGACCACAGUGCUUAUCCAGUUCCAACCCCCUGCUAUGUGCAGUGCAGGGUCACCAACCAGCAGACCAGGCUGCCCAGAGCCACAUCCAGCCUGGCCUUGAAUGCCUCCAGGGAUGGGGCAUCCACAGCCUCCUUGGGCAACCUGUUCCAGUGAACAGUAAGAUAGGCAAACCUAUCAAUAUCUACGUAGAACUUGAAUGUUUUUUUCUCCAUUCUUCCAGUACAGAUUAUCCUAAACCCUUUGGCACUGAAUCACUUAAAAUUGAUGGUGACUUCCUGCAGCAUGACAGGGAUGCUGUUGCACAGAGGCCUUGCCAAGGCUGCAGUCACACAGCUGGAUUCUGCAGCUGGUGCUACAGAAGUUGUUGGAGCAGAAGAGACAAAAACUGCCACAGAUGCACUCUGUGCAUUGAAAGAGUCAAGCCUGAGAAUCAUCUGGCAUGUGCAGUGUUGUUAAGGCAGAAGUGCUUGGCAGAGCUGCUGGAUGGAGCUUUGUUCAUAUGAAAAUGUCUACAGGCUCUCAAACAUCUAUACAGUACACAGAGACCCCAGCAAACAGCCCCAAGUGUGCUUCUCACUUCUUAUGAGCAGCUGGCUCCUCUUAAAGAGAAACUCCGGUUUAGAAUUAAGGCUGUUACUUAAAUAUAGCUAAAUGAUAGUUAAAACUGCAACUCAUAUAUAAGUAAGGAACAACACCAAGCCCAAAACAAAAGUCACAACAGAGGAUCCAUAACGCUGUACAGAACACCACAUUGGUAGGUAGAAUGCCAUCUUGUGAGCAACCACUGCAAUUUUCCCUGCACAAAUCAGCAUGGAACUAUAAAGGAGAUACCAGAUGUGGGAAAGGCAAUAAGGCAGAGAUCUCAAGAAUUGCACGAGCCUUUGUCACACUGUAAAGUUAUCAGCAGCCUCUUAUUUCCACGAGAAGAUGUGAGACACAUCCAAGCAAAAAAAAGACACCAGAAAGAGGAAGUGGUGCAGUGCUAUUUUGUGCACAAAAGAACACAAAGCACAUUGCCGUGCUGUCAAGCUGACAAAAUGAACUGACUGGAUAGAAAAGACAGGCUGUACAUUCCCAUCUGCCAUCAGAACAUGUAAUACCUUCGCUUUAGUUUUGGUGUCAGUGACAUCGAGAAGUUUUGACAGUAAUAACUGUAGCAUUCUCUCUCUUAGAUGACAAAUGUUGGUACACGAUAAUCCAUAUAUUAAUGGCUUAAGAGCCUUUCCCAUCAAAAUUUGCUUUCUUGUCUACUAAAUCCUCCUUGGGAGGACAAGUCACAGGCAUCUUUUGAGACUAGCUGGCCUAUAUAAAUUAUUUUAAUCACAUUAUCAGAGCAUGACCAGACUAUGAAGAGGCAAUAGUAAAUUAUCUUUCCCAAUGGAAAAACGCCGUUGUAAUUUCAGAAUGUGGGUAGUAAAGCCAGCAAUUCACAUUUCAUAACUGGCUGAAGCCGGUAGCCAGGACACAGAAAGAAAAGGUUAAUGAAAGGCCAUAAAUAAUGCAAGAAUUCUUUUAUGUUUCAAACUUAAUUACUGGAUGAUUUAUCAGUUUUAUUAUCCUGUAUAAUUAGAGAGUAAAGAAAAUCUCCUAUGCAUUAAGAUUAGUUGACUGAGAGCAGUGGAACUAAGAGAAGUGUCACACAUCUCUCUCCAUUAAAACAGCUGGCAUUACAGAAAAGGAAAUGACUGCUACUGCUGUAGGAAUGGUUGCUGUUUUAAUGGCCAGGAGGAACAGAGCGAGUCAAAAUGAGUUCAGAAUAAGAGAUGGGCCACUGGUACCUGACACAAGCAUUUAAUGCUUCAGAACCAAGCUGUGUGUGGCUCUGGUUCAGGCAGCUAGGGUUCACUCUCCUCAUUUACCAGGCUUCAAAUGCCAAACAGGCGAGUUCUGUGUGAGCAAAAAUGAAUGCUGUCUCCCUUAUUGUGGUACAAAAAUGCAUUGCAAAAGGAUCAAUGAGACUCUGCCAUAAGCAGUGAGCGGUCAGGUUAAUCAGGUGACUUGGGGGCAAGGUUUUAGCCAGUUACAGCAUGGAGGGUGGCAUCCGAAAGUUGGAUUAAGCUCUGAAGUCACCAACUUCUUUCUGUUUUAAAAUCAGGAACGCUGACAGAAAACAGUAAGAAACAGGGAGAAGAAAUGAAACGUGAAUGAAAUCUGCAGAACCAGAACAACAAAAACUCACCUCUGUGAGAGCUUUAUCCAGACUGGCAGCCAGCUUACCAAUGUCAUACAGAAGCUGAGUAGGUGCAGCAAUUUUAGCCACAGGUGUGCCCGGCAGUGCACAGAUGUGUCUGUUUUUUCAAGUGAUAUGGGAGCUGUUUGCAGAGUUAAGCAUUCCUCUCCUUCAUUUGCUCAGCUGCUGGCACGUGAAGUUUGGACUUUUACAGGCACAGUCACCUGACACGGAUCCAUCCAUCCCCUACCAGCUACACUGCAACCUGAGGUUCUACUUUUGGCUACACUGCAACCUGAGGUUCUACUUUUGAUAGCCAAAUUUAACCUCAAUUUUGGAUACUCCUUCUGUGCAAUUUUGUCACCACUACAACUGGUGCUGCAUCUAGAUUACCAACCUAAAACACCUUUGAAUCAGUAGACCCAGGAAACCUACCAGGGCAAUUGAACUGAAAAAACAGCUGCAGGAUAACCCGCCCUUCCCUAUACUUGCAGUUCUCACUAAAACAACCAUCUUCCCACUAGCAAAACCAGCAGCGAGCCAUCCUGCACCAUACCUCAAAGCCCACACCCACAGGUGCUUGCUGCAGUGCAUGCAUCUCACCAGCACUGCUGCUCUUAGGCUGCUGAAGGUCCAGCAUCUCUGUGGGCUUUUCUGCACUACGCCGUGCAUUUGAUGGAGCUCAGCUCUGGCAUUCUCAGCACAGCAUCUGUGCACCCUGAAGUUACUCCUUCUAGCUCAACAGCUGAAAGGGAGGUGUGCAAUGGAUUGGGAGCUAUAGAAGUGCCAGAGCUGCAGUGCAGUGCUGCAGCUCCUCACCUCCCUCCUGCACAGACAUGAUGCCGCCGUCCUUCGUGAGCCGCGGUGUAGCUGAGGGGAAGCCGUGGGCGCUGAGGAACACCAUGGCCCGGGUCUGCGCCUCGAUGAGGGCGGGCUGCUGGCUGUCUUCUGAGUUGGUGAUUUUGAGGACGUACUCCUCGGCCCCUUCAGCCUCACCUCCGUCUGAGACCUUCACGUGGAAGUUCUGAUCGUCGUAGCUGGGCAGGGGCCUGACCCACACCGCCUUUAACCCGAACACCUUGUCCACCAGCUCGGCCGCCUCCUCCUCGCCGAACGCCGGCUUGGUGGCUGCCUGCGGCUGGCGACGGUCUCCAGAAGCCAUCGCGUCUGUGAGAGAAAGACAGAGACUAGAAGAGGUGAGCCGUGCCGUGACACCAGCAGCGAUAACGGUCGCAACAAACAAACCAACAAACAAACCGCCGAGCCGGCCCCGCGUUCCGCACCCCCGGGAGCCGCGCCGACCUUUGCCCUGCCCGGGGGAGCUCCCCCGGCCCGGCCCGGCCCUCCCCGCCAGCGGCCGCGCUGCGCAGGAGCGGCCGGAGGAGCGCCGCCCCGCCCGCGGUCACCCAGCGGAGCGCAGCCGCCCCGAGCGGGGGAGUGGUGGCGGCCGGAGCUGGGCGGCAGCGCCGGGCCCUGCGUAGCCCUGGGGGAAGGGAACAGCGCGGCCUUCCUGCCGGCAAGCGCUCCCUCUGCCAGCCCCACAGCAGGGCUACGUCGCGGUACGAGCACGGAACAAAAGCUGUCUCCUUUGCCUCAGUCAUUUACCCGAACCCAAGUCGCCACGUCGGCGCCCGGCGGCGGGGGGCUCGGGGCGGCCAGCCCUGCAGCUACAGGCUGAGACCCGCACGCUCGGGAGGGGGGAACUCCGAGCCAACGGUAGGGCUGAGCUGGGAUGGAAAGAGUGCUACGGUUACUGACACGCCUUAAGCUCCGGCUACCUGCGAUCCAGUCGGUCUGAAACAGGAAAGCAUUCUGGCUGCACCUGUGAGUUAAAGCGUGCCCUGGGUUACAGCCAGCACAGAACGUGACCCGCAGCUAAAUGUUACACAUGCCCUAUCUACGUGUAGGGGAGGGGCAGCUGUCAGACAAACCGCAAUCUCUGCAAAUCCUGGCACCGCCUGCUGUAGUACACAACCCAAACCAGGAGCCUGCCUGACCUACAUUCUAAAUGAGAGCAGACAUUUUCCUGAAGAAAAAAAUACACAAAUUAUUCCAAGGCAAAUGACUGACAGAAUAUCCAGAGGGAGAGCUGAAGCUCAGCUGACACAAGAAGUCUCUUUCUAGACCAAUAAAGCAUGCUGUGGAAACCAUGAGAGAGAUGCUCCUACUGAGCAAAUGCAAUGGAAGCACAAUUACACCCUUUUCCUUGCUCCGCCCCCAACUUCAUGCACACUUACCGGUGCCAUGUUAGUAUCAGGCCGUGCCUUCUAUUCAAAAUACAUGGUAACAUACAAGAACUGUGAUACAAUUUUCUUUAUUAAAAAUAAUUUACAGUAUCAGUAACGUUUUAUGCACAAUUGUCAUGAGCUGAACUUCUGGUAAGAUAUCUAUACAAUACUCACUGAACUUAAAACUUAACUCUUUUGUUGGCUUUGAACAGCAGACAUUGAUUUGCAGUUGCUUAAAUACGAUUAAUAUACAGAAUUUCAUGUUCUUAAACGUAGGUGUAAAAUGUAUAAACAUCAACACUAUCCCAAAGCUUGGUCAUUUGGGAGGGCACAAAGAGUAAAUGUUUAGAAAAACUGGAAUAUUCUUCUCCAAAUCAAACAGGAGAGAGAAUCCUAGGUUAAAUACAUCUAACACAGUCACUUCGUCAAACAGGAGCAUUUUCUCCUAUGCUUUAAGAUACUAGAAAGUCUAAUUGAACAAUGCUUUGUGUGUGUGAUCACAGCAAUCUUUGCCUGCAUUGUAUCCUGCCACUGCCCGAAGCAGGCUUCACUGCUGCCCAUCUCAAGCUCACAGGAUCCUAGCAGUGAGUUCCAAGUUCAACGUCCUGCCUUCACUGCCAAGUUACUGACCCGACCUGAUGGCGUUCCCUGCUGCACGAGGGGAGAGGGGGCAGGCACACGACCAUGGAUAAUGGCAGCUCACUACUGCGUGAGAAGCAAGAGAUGGGUACAUAAGCAGUGCCGUUCCCCUCAGCACCUACCACCUUCAGGCACACACGUCCUAAGGGUGGGAAUCGGUCUGCUCAAGUCACAAAGAUGCUAUGGACAUUGGUAAGGUUGGGAGAGGACCCACUGCAGCAACAAGAGCAGGAGCCUCCAAGUUGACAGCAUCUGCACGUGGAGCUGUCUGUCACUGAUAUUAAGGCAUAAGAGUGCAGCAGAUUUUAAGUAGUUGCUAUGGUAACGAAACCAUCACACUUCUUAAGAGAUGAGUAUUGGUGGCAAUAACUUGUAAGUCACAGCCCUUGAAAUUGCACUUAGCUUCACAAUACUGGUUUACCUUGACAUGGCUUGGAUCACUGUCUCCUUCUGAGUGUCACUGCACUGGGAGGGCAGGAGGCCGUGCCCCACUCAAGCACUAGCAGUUGCACAAGUAUUUUAGAUAGCCUCGCAGCUGUAUUUCACUGAUCUCCUGCACAAAGCAUCACUAUGCGUCAGCUCUAAAGUCAUAUUUGUUCCUUAGUAAUGAACAUGCAUUUUCUUCAAUUAUGAAUACACUUUUGAGCUGGAAAAGAAGUAUUAGAUGCUGUUUGACAAGUAGUAAGAUCUCAAUUCCUGAUAAAAUUACCAGAAUGUACCACAGAACAGAAAACCAUUCAGCAUUCAGUUGGAUACAGUAUUAGAAAAUGCAUUGAUUUAUUACCCAUAUCAGUGGUAUGAGUCACUGGAAUAGUUUUUCUCAUCUCAGCUAAAAGAAAAACACAGCAAAAUUAUUGGAACAAGUUAUACAGAAUUUCAAACCUUAGGGAAUUUUGGCCAGUAAAAGAAAAAAGGUAUCAGAAUUAUGCCAAUGGAAUUGAAUUCUGCAGCUGAGCUGUCUCCAGAUUAUGCUGUAUCGAUGUAAUUGUGCCAGGGUUUUUUGUUACUCAGAUUUUUAGGCAUGUCAUAAACAUACUAUUUAAGGAUGCCAAUGGUGCACAUGUUAGCCUGCACGUCAGCUGGCUCAGCAACUAGUUAGAGACUGAAAGCACACACAGUAAAACUGAUGUAGUCUUCUGGCAAGUUAGGACAUUUAAGACAAUGUUUAUCAAGGUCAAAAAUCUAAAAGCAAAAUCUUGACAACAACUCCUAGGCAAGUUUCUGCAGCUUUGUCCUCCAAAAGCAAUCCAUCACUCUAUAAGCAGAAGUGGUAUUAUGAAGCUGGUCAAGAUGCAGGAGCACAGAAAUACCUGAAGCUAUCAGUAAAGGCGCACCUGCACAGAUUUAGAAGCUCUCAGUGAUUAAGUGGUAAAACAAAGGCAUUUCUGCAGAAACUGUGCAUCUUCCAUUCAUGUUAAAUACAGAACAGUUUUUAUAAGCAAUAUGCUCAUAAUUAGACUUAGUGGAGCUGCAGUGGCCAAGAGCCAAAUAUGUUCAGUAUUCUGCAAUCUUCAGCAGGGGAAUCUGGUGCCUGUUUGGAAGAGCUGCAAACUAAAAAACAUUCCAAAGCAUUAAAAGGCAGCAUGGCUACCUCAGCAAUUUACCAUGUGACAAGUGUAACUGAUUUAGACAUAGGCUGCAUAUAAAGCAGAGUAAUUAAACAGUCGUAAUAUAAAUUCCUAAAGGUUAAAAUACUGAGGGGAAGUUCUCUGGCAAGUGAUAUCAGACAAUACAGUAGAAACCAACGCUACGAAGGACAAGCUUAAGGAAGAUAUGACAAAGUACUCAACUGAAGGGCACUGCAGCUUACCAGAAUGCUGGGGGGCUGCACUUCAACACCAGCCAUGUAUUGUGGGCGUUCUCUUACAAGCAGAGAUGUUGCUCAGAAAAACAUCAUACUUCUAUAGCCCACAGCACUUCAUGGGGUGAUCAGUUUUCCAUCUGGAUCCGGAAGGGAUGUAGUUCCAUACAACAACACGGGACAUGAUGGGCCUUACGUACCCAUCAUUUAAAGAGCAGGACAUUCAAAACUGAAGAUCUAUUUUGAGCUCUGGAUGCCAAAAAAAAAAAACAACCCACCCAUCUGUUUGGCCUUUAACCUUCCAUACCAUCUGCUACCCUUAAGCCAACAGCAGUACAGAGAUUUACAGGUGCAAAAACUAAGUGGAAACAACUGCAGAAAACCUUCUUACAUAAUAAUCUUCAGCACCAUCAGUUUGAGAUUUCACACGGUUUAUUUACAAAAUGGUCUGAGAAAACAUCCCUUCCAUACUUACAGCUCUCUCUGCCACAACACACGUCAAUUUUAGCAAUGUUUAAUAGCACCAUUGGAAUAUUAUUUAAAAUCAGGAAGGAUCUUGUUUGCAGUUACAAUGAUUCACAAUCUUUUACAUCCAUGGACGAAGUAACUUAGAGCACACUAGGGCUGUCUGCAGUUCCACAGUACAGAUUCCUGGGUUCACACAAGGCAUUUUCAGAGUUACCAGUUAGUGCGAGGUACCCAUACAGUCAGUAGCUACUAUAAGAAUCUUCGAGCCACAAAGUUUAGACUUCCACCAUUUUUGUAUAAAGUUAUCUCCACAUCGUUUUCAAACAAGGCAAACACGCUGAACACUUUUCCAGUGCUUGUCUUCAAAACAAAAGCAAACAGAGACACCCAUUAGGAGUUUUCCUUUCACUUCCCUUCGCUUACUUUCAGUUAGCACACUAGAACCAAGUUCUGCCUAACACAAACUAAUUCAAUCUGAGUAGCUGCCACUGCACAACAGAGACACUGCUGGGAGCAGAAUGAAGGCUGAAUCCAACCACACAGUUUUGAUCCAGUUGGGACUGUGCUGCACACCUACUGUUAGCAACAAAAAAGCUAUUUCCCUAAGAGGGCACAAAAUAUAGAUACCAUACAGAUACCUGACACAGGAUAGGAAGGUGAAGCCUCCC